This 274-nucleotide ribosomal RNA is filed under the name uncultured bacterium. RNAcentral's name for it is "partial 16S ribosomal RNA". It matches the Rfam family "Bacterial small subunit ribosomal RNA", at positions 523 to 796 of the family's 1533-position model. The record is from RNAcentral.
AUACGGAGGGUGCUAGCGUUAUUCGGAUUUACUGGGCGUAAAGAGAGCGUAGGCGGUUAAUAAAGUUGGAUGUGAAAGCCCGGGGCUCAACCUCGGAACUGCAUUCAAAACUCAUUAACUAGAAUUUGGUAGAGGAUAGUGGAAUUCCUAGUGUAGAGGUGAAAUUCGUAGAUAUUAGGAGGAACACCAGUGGCGAAGGCGACUAUCUGGACCAACAUUGACGCUAAGGCUCGAAAGCGUGGGGAGCAAACAGGAUUAGAAACCCUAGUAGUCC